This 67-nucleotide transfer RNA is filed under the name Marmota monax (woodchuck). RNAcentral's name for it is "tRNA.Asp". Lineage: Eukaryota; Metazoa; Chordata; Mammalia; Rodentia; Sciuridae. The record is from RNAcentral.
GGUUAUGGCUCAGUGGUAGAGCACUUGCCUAUCAUGUGUGAGGCCCUGGGUUCCAUACUCAGCACCA